GCCUGGGUGGCUCAGUGGUUGAGCAUCUGCCUCCAGCUCAGGGCGUGAUCCUGGAGACGUGGGGUCAAGUCCCACGUCGGGCU
Molecule: transfer RNA, 83 nt
Filed under: Canis lupus familiaris (dog)
Lineage: Eukaryota; Metazoa; Chordata; Mammalia; Carnivora; Canidae
Also listed under: 1 other name
Rfam family: tRNA
About the family: Transfer RNA (tRNA) molecules are approximately 80 nucleotides in length. Their secondary structure includes four short double-helical elements and three loops (D, anti-codon, and T loops).
Source: Rfam by way of RNAcentral